AGGCAACGGGGGCGGGUCCCUGGGUCUGCAGAGCCUGGGGGCCAGAACACGUGGCUUCCCGGUGGCCCUCACCUUGCAGAGUUGGACAAAGAGGACUAAGUUGGUGGCCUAGGUGUGGAGGCUGGUGGGGCCACCACCACAGACCACAGGAGGGGAUGUGUGCAGGCCAGGGUCCAGCCUUGCCUGAGGGUUGCACAGUGUUUUAAAUGACUUCUGCACUGGCGGGCCUCUCCUCCCGAAACCAGUCUCUCCCUCUUAACUCCAUACAGUAAGCAAGGCCCGGUAAGAAGUUGGGUUUCCCUGCCAUCCUUCCUGCCCCAGCCCCUCAUCCUCAACUCACCAUCAACCCUUCCACGAUCCCAAAUUGCUCGUGGAUGACUUUGGCGAGGGGAGCCAAACAGUUGGUGGUGCAGGACGCGUUGCUGAAACAGCCAAGGUGUGCACGGACACUGUGAGGUGGUGACCUCCCCAACUCAGCCCUCAACCUCCUCAGAGGCGCCAACGCUGACUGCUGUCAGCCAGCCCAGACCCUUUCUCCAUAUGCUGCCCGGGACGUGGACUCUGACUGUGAGGCCUGCCCGGCUGCUUUCUGCUUCCCAGCCCUGACAACCUCGCCACGAACCCUCCUAGACCCUCAGCUCCUACAAUAGGAAGCUGGCUGCCAAAGGCCAGGAGAGUCCCUGAAGACAGACACUGCAUUAAAGAAAAAGCUCCUGGAGGACUCCUGAAGCCUGAGGCAGCCUUGGGGCGGCAGUGGCUCAUGGUUUACAUUAGAAAGGUUUAUCAUGAGUAACCAGGUGCUUUGCUUCUGUGAUUCUCGGCCAGUGUAGGUCUGUUUCCUUUGCCAUUGAGCCUGCUCCUCUCAAUGGGGGUUCAAUCAAUGUUUGUGGGGUUUGUUUGUUUUGAGACAGGGUCUUCCUCUGUCGCCCAGGCUGGAGUGCAGUGGUGCAAUCAGAGCUCACCGCAGCCUUGAUCUUCCUGGCUCCGGCCAUCCUCCUGCCUUGGCCUCCCGAGUAGCUGGGAAUACAGGCGCACGCCACCAUGCCCAGCUAAUUUUUAAAUUUUUUUGUAGAGAUGGGGUCUCACUUUUGUUGCCCAGGGUGCUUUAGAACCCCUGGGCUCAAGUGAUCCUUGGCCUCCCACAGUGCUGGGAUUACAGGUGUGAGCCACCGUGCCUGGCCUCAUGGGUUUUCUUUGUUUGUUUUGUUUUGUUUUGUUUUUGAGACAGAGUCUCACUCUGUCACUCAGGCUGGAGUGCAGUGGCACGAUUUUGGCUCACUGCAACCUCCACCUUCCGGGUUCAAGCGAUUCUCCUGCCUCCGCCUCCUGAGUAGUUGGGGUUACAGGCAUGCGCUACCACACCUGGCUAGUUUUUUAUUGUUGUUGUUUUUUGUAUUUUUAGUGGUGACGGGGUUUUGCUCUGUUGGCCAGGCUGGUCUCAAACUCCUGACCUCAGGUGAUCCCCACUGCAGCCUCCCAAAGUGCUGGGAUGACAGGCAUGAGCCGCUGCACCUGGCCUCGUGUUUUUUUUUUUUUAGUUAGCCAUUUUAUACAUCUUUACUGAACACCUGUCCUGUGCCCGUAUUCUAAGUGCCUUACCUGUAUUAAACUCAUGUAACCUUCACAACCCAA
Molecule: non-coding RNA, 1632 nt
Filed under: Pan troglodytes (chimpanzee)
Lineage: Eukaryota; Metazoa; Chordata; Mammalia; Primates; Hominidae
Source: RNAcentral